UGAGACCACAGAGGCAGGUAUACAACUAGAGAUUCACCAGUAGUGUAAAUAUGAAAAUCUUCAUAUAUUAGAGUCUGUGGUAUCUCAUGAAUAAGUCCAAUCAUAACAUUUCUUUGCCUGCUUUCUUAUUAUGUGACUAUAAAAAGAUGUCAACAGUGCAUUUAAAUUUUCCUGCAGAGAGGAAAUAUGCAGAUCACAAUGAAGCUAUUACCCCUGUAUGCACACAAGUUGAACCUAACGGCAUUAAAAGAAAAGGACAAGCUGUGAAACGCCUAGAUUCCAGAGCAACAGACUGUGAUCCAUUCCCAACAACCCCUCCCUACCGUCUGCCACCAGUUCCCUUAAAGCAGGAAUCAGAGCUAGACUGACUCAACUAAGGUAAGAAGUGAGGCUUCAUGUGAAAAAGACUACAGCUACAAAACAAAUUCUCAAAUAUAUGUUACGUGCUAAGAUUUUGAACUUGACCCAGAAGUUUGUGGUGUACACACAAAUAGAAAUAACAUGCACACAGUCAUAUAGCUAUGUUUAAAAUUCUUUUUAGUGCUUUCCAAUUAAAAGCAUAAAUUAG
Molecule: long non-coding RNA, 568 nt
Filed under: Pan troglodytes (chimpanzee)
Lineage: Eukaryota; Metazoa; Chordata; Mammalia; Primates; Hominidae
Description: lncRNA (ENSPTRG00000053508.1)
Source: RNAcentral